Molecule: long non-coding RNA, 202 nt
Organism: Erigeron canadensis
Lineage: Eukaryota; Viridiplantae; Streptophyta; Magnoliopsida; Asterales; Asteraceae
Exons: 2
Source: RefSeq, a predicted model, not a curated record
CGAUUAUUCCGUACAGAAUCGCCUGAAUAAAAAAAGAGCGAUUCUCUUACGGAACUGAUCCUAACGGAGGAAAGGAUCUAAAACGUAAUAUUAGAAGAAAAGGGAGUCCAAGAAGGUAACAAAAAACCCGCCAAUAUAAAAAUGUCGUUUCCAAUAUAUCAUGGAAAUAUAUACCUAUCAAUCAGGACUCCUAAUUCUGAGG